AUUCAUGCUCAGGACGAACGCUGGCGGCGUGCUUAACACAUGCAAGUCGAACGAUGAUGCCCAGCUUGCUGGGUGGAUUAGUGGCGAACGGGUGAGUAACACGUGAGUAACCUGCCCUUGACUUCGGGAUAACUCCGGGAAACCGGGGCUAAUACCGGAUAUGAGCUACCUUCGCAUGGGGGUGGUUGGAAAGUUUUUCGGUCAAGGAUGGGCUCGCGGCCUAUCAGCUUGUUGGUGGGGUGAUGGCCUACCAAGGCGACGACGGGUAGCCGGCCUGAGAGGGCGACCGGCCACACUGGGACUGAGACACGGCCCAGACUCCUACGGGAGGCAGCAGUGGGGAAUAUUGCACAAUGGGCGAAAGCCUGAUGCAGCGACGCCGCGUGAGGGAUGAAGGCCUUCGGGUUGUAAACCUCUUUCAGCAGGGAAGAAGCGCAAGUGACGGUACCUGCAGAAGAAGCGCCGGCUAACUACGUGCCAGCAGCCGCGGUAAUACGUAGGGCGCAAGCGUUGUCCGGAAUUAUUGGGCGUAAAGAGCUCGUAGGCGGUUUGUCGCGUCUGGUGUGAAAACUCGAGGCUCAACCUCGAGCUUGCAUCGGGUACGGGCAGACUAGAGUGCGGUAGGGGAGACUGGAAUUCCUGGUGUAGCGGUGGAAUGCGCAGAUAUCAGGAGGAACACCGAUGGCGAAGGCAGGUCUCUGGGCCGCAACUGACGCUGAGGAGCGAAAGCAUGGGGAGCGAACAGGAUUAGAUACCCUGGUAGUCCAUGCCGUAAACGUUGGGCACUAGGUGUGGGGCUCAUUCCACGAGUUCCGUGCCGCAGCAAACGCAUUAAGUGCCC
Molecule: ribosomal RNA, 841 nt
Filed under: Cellulosimicrobium cellulans
Lineage: Bacteria; Bacillati; Actinomycetota; Actinomycetes; Micrococcales; Promicromonosporaceae
Description: bacterial SSU rRNA
Rfam family: Bacterial small subunit ribosomal RNA
Source: RNAcentral